CUUCUCUGUGCCGAGUCUGCCGACUGUGCGACUUUCUUCUCUGUUCGAAGAAAGCCUAGCAAAAAAAUUCACUUUACCAGCAAAAAAAUUCACUUUCUUCUCUGACUGAUUUAGAUCUACACCCUCACUCCGUUCGUCGCCGACGCCGUUGCUCGCCGCAUCUGUGAGACUCCAUCGCCAUCGCCAUCGCCUUAACAAGUCCCAAGUCCCAAAUCGAAGCUGCUCUCUGCCUCUCCGGCCUCCGCCAGUCCGCCGCGCUGUACGUCUCCUGUCGGCUGUGUCCUGCCGUGCUGGUUCAUCGCUGCCGAGUGUCGAAGACGAAGCACCAAGAUCUCACUAGUUCAUCGCUGGUUCAUCACUGCUCAUCUCUGGCUCACUUAGGUAAGUGCUCCUCUGUUUUUGGCUCUGUGUCUCUGGCAUUAAAAUGGGCCAAGAUCGACUAGGAAACUUGUUAUCCUGAAUUGAUAAGGUUUCUGAUCAUUUUUGGGCUAGUUAUUGCUUUAAUUUGAGUGAGAAUCCGGCAAAAUUUUAAUGCCCAUUUACUGUUCGACAAAAUGCUUGAUUGAAAGUUUUAGUUGAAGGGUGAUUGGUCUGCAUUUUUGCACAUGAAAAAUACUGGCCAAGUCGGCCAGUUCACUUCCUCGCAUCUAAGAAUUUUUGGUGUGUUGAUGUCUUACAUUUUUCUGCUCCUUAUGCUUCCGGUCGAGUGAAUUCGAAUUGAUGUUAUGAGAGGGAGUGUUGUGAGUCUCAUUGUUUGUUGGAAUGGUUAGAAAUUGAAGCCAGAUUUCUGGUUGCUGAAUGGUAAUUGAUAUUUGCUCGUUGGAGAAGAUGAUCACUUGUCCAAAAUUGCAAUUUCAGUCCCUCCGUUUUCUUUUUGUUUAGUGAUUUGGUCCUGUCUUUUCCUGAGCUUCAUAUUUGCCUCCAACACCAUCAUAAGUCCCUUAAUUAGGUCCCUGCUUUGUUGCAUUUUCGUCAAAUCGAGUCAAAAAGCUUGAUAAGACUCGACUUGAUAAGGCUCGAUUAAAAAUCGAGCCUUAUCGAGUCGAGUCUCGAGCCUAAGGAAAUUCUUCGAGUCGAUCUUCGAGUAUCGAUUUUCGAGCUCGAGUUUCUGUGUGUAUGAGUCGAGUCGAGCUCGAGUAUAGUGAUACUCGAGCUCGACUCGACUCGAUUACAUCUCUACUCAUACCUCCUUUCUCUCUUUUGUUUUUGGGGGUGGCGAAGAGAAGCAAAAUUCAUUCCUUAAGGGUCUGUUUGGUUAAAAGUAAAAUAUUUUCCUUGGGAAAAUAUUUUCCGUGGAAGUAAUUUUCCAUGAAAAUCAUUUCCCUUUCAUCAUUUUCAGGUGUUUGGUUAGUUUAUUGAAAAUAUUUUCUUACUUCAUUUUUCUGGUGUUUGUUUAACUUUUGAAAUAUUUUCACUUUUAUCUCUAUCUUUACUUUCUACACAUUAUAACUACAUACUUCUUCCCAUGCAAAAUAAGAAAAUUUAUCUCAUUGUUUAACUUUAAAAAAUCUUGGAGAAAUGUAUAUAUGAAUAAAAAAUAUCUCCUUAACCAAUAAACAAAUUUCUGGCCAUUUAGUGUCAAAUAUCAAUCACAUGCAAUGCUUAUUGUGACAUAUAUCUUGCACUCUCACUGCUGAAAGUUUCUCUAGAAAAGAAUGUCUCUAUUAUACAUAAUUAAUUACUAGCAUAGGAUGAGCAGGAUGAGGUUUUAUUUUUUUAUUUUGAAUAUAUUAGGGAGAGGGUUGGGUUGGGUUGGGUGGUACGGGGGAGGGAAUGUAAGGAAGAGGUUUUGGGUUCGAGUUCUCCUGUUUACACAAAAAAAAAAAAAAGAACAUGCUACAAGAUGUUUUCAGUAAGUUUGGAACAUACUACAGGAGGAUGCAUGCAUUUCGAAAAACAACUUCAGUAAGUUUGGAAAGGAAGUUGUUUUCCAUAAGAUGAGUGAAAAUAUUUUACAUAGGAAAAUGUUUUCAGUAACUUUUGUGCAACCAAACACGGGAAAUUAGAAAAAUAUUUUUCUAGAAAACAUUUUCACCCGAAACAAACGGAUCCUAAAUCUAAUUGGUUUUCGGAACUGUAGAAAAUUUUAUAUUGGCCACAUCCAAAUUUGUCAGUGAUGUAGAGCUAUUUCAGUCAGCGCCGUUGUAAAAUAGUAAUCGUCUGCCCACUCAUUUGACCUUGUUUUGAUUCCUAAUAGAGGUAUAAAUGAGCAAUUUAAAAUGGGGUGGGAACGGACUGAAGAGCGAGCAACCCAAGCCAUUCCUUACGCGUGGUGACUGAGUCGGUAGAAGAUGGAGGACGAUGGUUGGGCGGUCAAAUGUUGCUGGUACAGAGUCAUACGUCAAUUUGGACGGUUUUACUUGUCUUUGCAAUUUCUGAUUUUACAGUUCUCCUUCAAUUAUUGUUGCGGUUUGUCGAGUUGCCUGUGGCAUGGGAGGCUGGAAUCCGGAGAUACAAGCAACAUUUUAUUAUUGCAUUCCGGCAUUGGCACAUUAGGUGGAGGUGAUCAUAAGAUCUUAAUUCAACUUUCAAACUUCAUUUUUGUAGGACACGAAUUCUCAUUUGAAUAAAAAAAAAGGAAAGGAUACAUUUUGUUUCGGGUAAA
Molecule: long non-coding RNA, 2605 nt
Filed under: Coffea arabica (coffee)
Lineage: Eukaryota; Viridiplantae; Streptophyta; Magnoliopsida; Gentianales; Rubiaceae
Description: long non-coding RNA (CARA_LNC007626)
Source: RNAcentral